RNAcentral lists this ribosomal RNA (440 nucleotides) under uncultured bacterium. RNAcentral describes it as "partial 16S ribosomal RNA". It matches the Rfam family "Bacterial small subunit ribosomal RNA", at positions 338 to 795 of the family's 1533-position model. The record is from RNAcentral.
CCUACGGGUGGCAGCAGUGGGGGAUAUUGCACAAUGGGGGAAACCCUGAUGCAGCGACGCCGCGUGUGGGAAGACGGUCCUCUUGAUUGUAAACCACUGUCCCCAGGGACGAAGAUGACGGUACCUGGGGAGGAAGCUCCGGCUAACUACGUCCAAGCAGCCGCGGUAAUACGUAGGGAGCGAGCGUUGUCCGGAAUUACUGGGUGUAAAGGGGGCGUAGGGGGGGAAGCAAGUUGGGUGUAAAAACUACCGGCUCAACUGGUAGUCGCACUCAAAACUGCAGCUCUUGAGUGAAGUAGAGGCAGGCGGAAUUCCUAGUGGAGCGGUGAAAUGCGUAGAUAUUAGGAGGAACACCAGGGGCGAAGGCGGCCUGCUGGGCUUUUACUGACGCUGAGGCUCGAAAGUGUGGGGAGCAAACAGGAUUAGAUACCCCAGUAGUC